Molecule: transfer RNA, 63 nt
Filed under: Saxidomus purpurata
Lineage: Eukaryota; Metazoa; Mollusca; Bivalvia; Venerida; Veneridae
Description: tRNA-Gly
Rfam family: tRNA
About the family: Transfer RNA (tRNA) molecules are approximately 80 nucleotides in length. Their secondary structure includes four short double-helical elements and three loops (D, anti-codon, and T loops).
Source: RNAcentral
GCAAUAAUAGUAUAAGUAGUAUACUUGUCUUCCAAACAAGUGGUUCUGUUCUAGAUUGUUGUA